AAAAGGUAUUUCUAAAUAAACAUCUCUGUCAAAAUCCUUCUUGCUUGAGCUUUGCCAAGUUUGAUACAAGAACUAGUAUCUCAAUGUGAUGCAAAGUAAAAAAAUUCCAACAAUCUCUAUCUUGCAGCCCAAUGAUCAUAUGUAUGAAUUCAAUGCAUAACUAAAAAUUUUGCCACCCUGGACAAGUAUUUUACAGGUAUCAGGUUUUACAGGAUACGUGUACUAUCCUAAGUAUAAACUUUUGAUCAAUGUGCGGUGUGCAGAUCAUACAUAUGUUCCACAGGA
Molecule: unclassified non-coding RNA, 285 nt
Filed under: Hevea brasiliensis (rubber tree)
Lineage: Eukaryota; Viridiplantae; Streptophyta; Magnoliopsida; Malpighiales; Euphorbiaceae
Source: RNAcentral